This 253-nucleotide ribosomal RNA is filed under the name uncultured bacterium. RNAcentral's name for it is "partial 16S ribosomal RNA". It matches the Rfam family "Bacterial small subunit ribosomal RNA", at positions 524 to 776 of the family's 1533-position model. The record is from RNAcentral.
GACGAACCGUGCGAACGUUGUUCGGAAUCACUGGGCUUAAAGGGCGCGUAGGCGGGUCAGCAAGUCCGGGGUGAAAUCUUUCGGCUUAACCGGAAAAGUGCCUUGGAGACUGCUGAUCUUGAGGGAGGUAGGGGCAUGUGGAACUUCCGGUGGAGCGGUGAAAUGCGUUGAUAUCGGAAGGAACGCCGGUGGCGAAAGCGACGUGCUGGCCCUCUUCUGACGCUGAGGCGCGAAAGCCAGGGGAGCGAACGGG